UUCAGUCCUUUCCCAGGACUUUCAUCAGGAGCAGAACUUUCAUAAGGGUAUUGAUCCUGAUGAAAGUCCUGGGAAAGGACUGAAA
Molecule: microRNA precursor, 85 nt
Filed under: Pelobates cultripes (western spadefoot toad)
Lineage: Eukaryota; Metazoa; Chordata; Amphibia; Anura; Pelobatidae
Source: RNAcentral